Molecule: ribosomal RNA, 497 nt
Filed under: uncultured bacterium
Lineage: Bacteria
Description: partial 16S ribosomal RNA
Rfam family: Bacterial small subunit ribosomal RNA
Source: RNAcentral
GAUGAACGCUGGCGGCGUGCCUAAUACAUGCAAGUCGAGCGAACAGACGAGGAGCUUGCUCCUCUGACGUUAGCGGCGGACGGGUGAGUAACACGUGGAUAACCUACCUAUAAGACUGGGAUAAAUUCGGGAAACCGGAGCUAAUGCCGGAUAAUAUAUUGAACCGCAUGGUUCAAUAGUGAAAGACGGUUUUGCUGUCACUUAUAGAUGGAUCCGCGCCGCAUUAGCUAGUUGGUAAGGUAACGGCUUACCAAGGCAACGAUGCGUAGCGGACCUGAGAGGGUGAGCGGCCACACUGGAACUGAGACACGGUCCAGACUCCUACGGGAGGCAGCAGUAGGGAAUCUUCCGCAAUGGGCGAGAGCGUGACGGAGCAACGCCGCGUGAGUGAUGAAGGUCUUCGGAUCGUAAAACUCUGUUAUUAGGGAAGAACAAAUGUGUAAGUAACUAUGCACGUCUUGACGGUACCUAAUCAGAAAGCCACGGCUAACUACGUG